This 220-nucleotide long non-coding RNA is filed under the name Elaeis guineensis (African oil palm). Its description in RNAcentral is "long non-coding RNA (EGUI_LNC043094)". Lineage: Eukaryota; Viridiplantae; Streptophyta; Magnoliopsida; Arecales; Arecaceae. The record is from RNAcentral.
CUUAGGCAGAUCAAAUUGAAACUGAUAAACCAAGUUGUAUCUAAGGUAAGUUUGGCAUUUUGAUUGAUGGUUUUUAAUUGGCAGCCCGCCUAUCUGGCCAUUUCGAUGGUGUCUAAGAUAAGCUUUGGUAGAUUUUUCCAUCAAUCUCACUUACUUGGCCAAUGUGGUUAAUCAACUUUUGAUUAGAUUGCUCAUUGAUUCGAGGUAACCCAUGCCACCU